RNAcentral lists this ribosomal RNA (2928 nucleotides) under Salmonella enterica subsp. enterica serovar Enteritidis str. EC20111174. Its description in RNAcentral is "bacterial LSU rRNA". It matches the Rfam family "Bacterial large subunit ribosomal RNA". The record is from RNAcentral. Lineage: Bacteria; Pseudomonadati; Pseudomonadota; Gammaproteobacteria; Enterobacterales; Enterobacteriaceae.
GGGUUGUGAGGUUAAGCGACUAAGCGUACACGGUGGAUGCCCUGGCAGUCAGAGGCGAUGAAGGGCGUGCUAAUCUGCGAUAAGCGCCGGUAAGGUGAUAUGAACCGUUAUAACCGGCGAUACCCGAAUGGGGAAACCCAGUGUGACUCGUCACACUAUCAUUAACUGAAUCCAUAGGUUAAUGAGGCGAACCGGGGGAACUGAAACAUCUAAGUACCCCGAGGAAAAGAAAUCAACCGAGAUUCCCCCAGUAGCGGCGAGCGAACGGGGAGGAGCCCAGAGCCUGAAUCAGCAUGUGUGUUAGUGGAAGCGUCUGGAAAGGCGCGCGAUACAGGGUGACAGCCCCGUACACAAAAGCGCAUGUGCUGUGAGCUCGAUGAGUAGGGCGGGACACGUGGUAUCCUGUCUGAAUAUGGGGGGACCAUCCUCCAAGGCUAAAUACUCCUGACUGACCGAUAGUGAACCAGUACCGUGAGGGAAAGGCGAAAAGAACCCCGGCGAGGGGAGUGAAAAAGAACCUGAAACCGUGUACGUACAAGCAGUGGGAGCACCCUUUGGGUGUGACUGCGUACCUUUUGUAUAAUGGGUCAGCGACUUAUAUUCUGUAGCAAGGUUAACCGAAUAGGGGAGCCGGAGGGAAACCGAGUCUUAACCGGGCGUUAAGUUGCAGGGUAUAGACCCGAAACCCGGUGAUCUAGCCAUGGGCAGGUUGAAGGUUGGGUAACACUAACUGGAGGACCGAACCGACUAAUGUUGAAAAAUUAGCGGAUGACCUGUGGCUGGGGGUGAAAGGCCAAUCAAACCGGGAGAUAGCUGGUUCUCCCCGAAAGCUAUUUAGGUAGCGCCUCGUGAAUUCAUCUCCGGGGGUAGAGCACUGUUUCGGCUAGGGGGCCAUCCCGGCUUACCAACCCGAUGCAAACUGCGAAUACCGGAGAAUGUUAUCACGGGAGACACACGGCGGGUGCUAACGUCCGUCGUGAAGAGGGAAACAACCCAGACCGCCAGCUAAGGUCCCAAAGUCAUGGUUAAGUGGGAAACGAUGUGGGAAGGCCCAGACAGCCAGGAUGUUGGCUUAGAAGCAGCCAUCAUUUAAAGAAAGCGUAAUAGCUCACUGGUCGAGUCGGCCUGCGCGGAAGAUGUAACGGGGCUAAACCGAUGCACCGAAGCUGCGGCAGCGACACUGUGUGUUGUUGGGUAGGGGAGCGUUCUGUAAGCCUGUGAAGGUGUGUCUGUGAGGCAUGGCUGGAGGUAUCAGAAGUGCGAAUGCUGACAUAAGUAACGAUAAAGCGGGUGAAAAGCCCGCUCGCCGGAAGACCAAGGGUUCCUGUCCAACGUUAAUCGGGGCAGGGUGAGUCGACCCCUAAGGCGAGGCCGAAAGGCGUAGUCGAUGGGAAACGGGUUAAUAUUCCCGUACUUGGUGUUACUGCGAAGGGGGGACGGAGAAGGCUAUGUUGGCCGGGCGACGGUUGUCCCGGUUUAAGCGUGUAGGUGUGUGUUCCAGGUAAAUCCGGUUCACUUUAACACUGAGGCGUGACGACGAGGCACUACGGUGCUGAAGCAACAAAUGCCCUGCUUCCAGGAAAAGCCUCUAAGCAUCAGGUAACAUCAAAUCGUACCCCAAACCGACACAGGUGGUCAGGUAGAGAAUACCAAGGCGCUUGAGAGAACUCGGGUGAAGGAACUAGGCAAAAUGGUGCCGUAACUUCGGGAGAAGGCACGCUGACACGUAGGUGAAGUGAUUUACUCAUGGAGCUGAAGUCAGUCGAAGAUACCAGCUGGCUGCAACUGUUUAUUAAAAACACAGCACUGUGCAAACACGAAAGUGGACGUAUACGGUGUGACGCCUGCCCGGUGCCGGAAGGUUAAUUGAUGGGGUCAGCGCAAGCGAAGCUCCUGAUCGAAGCCCCGGUAAACGGCGGCCGUAACUAUAACGGUCCUAAGGUAGCGAAAUUCCUUGUCGGGUAAGUUCCGACCUGCACGAAUGGCGUAAUGAUGGCCAGGCUGUCUCCACCCGAGACUCAGUGAAAUUGAACUCGCUGUGAAGAUGCAGUGUACCCGCGGCAAGACGGAAAGACCCCGUGAACCUUUACUAUAGCUUGACACUGAACAUUGAGCCUUGAUGUGUAGGAUAGGUGGGAGGCUUUGAAGUGUGGACGCCAGUCUGCAUGGAGCCGACCUUGAAAUACCACCCUUUAAUGUUUGAUGUUCUAACGUGGACCCGUUACCCGGGUUGCGGACAGUGUCUGGUGGGUAGUUUGACUGGGGCGGUCUCCUCCUAAAGAGUAACGGAGGAGCACGAAGGUUGGCUAAUCCUGGUCGGACAUCAGGAGGUUAGUGCAAUGGCAUAAGCCAGCUUGACUGCGAGCGUGACGGCGCGAGCAGGUGCGAAAGCAGGUCAUAGUGAUCCGGUGGUUCUGAAUGGAAGGGCCAUCGCUCAACGGAUAAAAGGUACUCCGGGGAUAACAGGCUGAUACCGCCCAAGAGUUCAUAUCGACGGCGGUGUUUGGCACCUCGAUGUCGGCUCAUCACAUCCUGGGGCUGAAGUAGGUCCCAAGGGUAUGGCUGUUCGCCAUUUAAAGUGGUACGCGAGCUGGGUUUAGAACGUCGUGAGACAGUUCGGUCCCUAUCUGCCGUGGGCGCUGGAGAACUGAGGGGGGCUGCUCCUAGUACGAGAGGACCGGAGUGGACGCAUCACUGGUGUUCGGGUUGUCAUGCCAAUGGCACUGCCCGGUAGCUAAAUGCGGAAGAGAUAAGUGCUGAAAGCAUCUAAGCACGAAACUUGCCCCGAGAUGAGUUCUCCCUGAGACUUAAAGUCUCCUGAAGGAACGUUGAAGACGACGACGUUGAUAGGCCGGGUGUGUAAGCGCAGCGAUGCGUUGAGCUAACCGGUACUAAUGAACCGUGAGGCUUAACCUUACAACGCCGAAG